UCAACCCAGUUUUUCCAUGAGAGUCCACCAUACCUACCUAUGGAUUGAAGAAGAUCCCUCAAGUAUGUUGUCAUUGGUGCAAGCAAUAAAAAUUGCUCCCUAAAAAUGUAUGAUCUAUUAGUGUGUGGAAAAGAAGCUUUGUACGAACCUGUGAUGAGGAAGACAUUAAAGCGACAGACUGCAUAAUAAAGUUCUUUAUCACAGGAGGCAAUAUAAUGUGACGUUCCUUCACACUAAGAGGACACACAUCCAAACCUCAAAAGCUCAUGACAACCUCUGCUUCCCUCUGUGAAGGGCCUAUCUUGUACCAUUACUUUUUGCCCUUGAAAGAGUCAUGGUGAUCUACACCAAUUCCUUAUUUCGCCUUUUUCUUGGCUAACGUCAUAUGCUAGGGAAAGAUCUAUAUUCAUAUGUCAACUUGGAAGUAAGUAUUCAUGAAUUAUUAUUGUUGACAUUACCCUUGAGGUAAAUAGUUGGGAGGGGAAACUAUAAGCCCCUAUCUUUCUCUGUGUCCGACUGAAACUUUGAUCUCACGAGUACCACGUUGGUUGUAGCAAUUGUAGAAGACGAAAGGAUGACUGAGUAUGUGGGUUUGAUUUACAAGCUCUUACUUGACUCUUUCUAAUGUUAUGAUAAAUUGCAAUUGCUUCAAUAACUAAAGGCUAUCGGUUGUUAAUUCUCGAUAAGGUUCUUGAUCCAUACUUUACUUUGUGAAGGAAUUAUCACUUUAGCAUAAGAGAUUAUAUGUUGUUAUUGUUGUUCUAACUAUGAUCAUGAUGCCUGCAUGUCCAUAUCUUGUUUUGUCAACACCUCUCUCUCUAAACACGUGGGCAUAUUUAUUGAUCUCGGCUUUCGCUUGAGGACAAGCGUGGUCUAAGCUUGGGGGAGUUGAUACGUCCAUUUUGCAUCAUGCUUUUCUGUUGUUAUUUAUCCCUUUAUGGGCUGUUAUUACACUUCACGGUACAAUACUUAUGCCUUUUCUCUCUUAUUUUGAAAGGUUUACAUGAAGAGGGAGAAUGCCGACAGUUGGAAUUCUGGCCUGAAAAAAGGAGCAAGUUUGAGAUACCAAUUCUGCGCAAGUCCAAAAGCCGUGAAAAUCAACGACGAUUUAUUUUGAAAUUUAUAAAAAAUAAUGGGCCGAAGAAGUACCAUAGGGGAGACAGUAGGAGGCCACAAGCCUGCUAGGUGUGGCCCACCCCCCUGCCGCGCCUAGGGGGCUUGCGGGCUCCCUGUUGGCCCUCUGGCCCCCCUCUUUUUCUAUAAGGAGGGUUUCGUUCCAGAAAAAAAUCUAGAGGAGGCUUUCGGGAGGAAUCGCCGCCGACAUGAGGAGGAACUUGAGCAGAACUAAUCUAGAGCUCUGGCACGGUCGUCCUACCGGGGUAACUUCCCUCCCGGAGGGGGAAAUCGUCGCCAUCGUAAUCACCAACACUCCUCUCAUCGGAGAGGAUUCAUCACCAUCAACAUAUUCAUCAGCACCAUCUCAUCUCCAAACCCUAGUUCAUCUCUUGUAACCAAUCUCCGUCUCACGACUCCGAUUGGUACUUCUAAGGUUGCUAGUAGAGUUAAUGACUCUUUGUAGUUGAUGCUAGUUGGAUUACUCGGUGGAAGAUUAUAUGUUCAGAUCCUUUAUGCUAUUCAAUACCUCUCUGGUCAUGAAUAUAAUUAUGCUUUAUGAGUAGUCACUUUUGUUCCUGAGGACAUGGGAUAAGCCUUGCUAUAAGUAGUCAUAUGAAUUUGGUAUUCGUUCGAUAUUUUGAUGCGUUGUAUGUUGUUUUUCCUCUAGUGGUAUUAUGUGAACGUCGACUACAUAACACUUCACCAUUAUUUGGGCCUAGAGGAAAGCAUUGGGAAGUAGUAAGUAGAUGAUGGGUUGCUAGAGUGAUAGAAGCUUAAACCCUAGUUUACGCGUUGCUUUGUAAGGGGCUGAUAUGGAUCCACUAGUUUAAUGUUAUGGUUAGACUUUGUCUUUUCUUUUGUAGUUGCGGAUGCUUGCGAGAGGGGUUAAUCAUAAGUGGGAGGUUUGUCCAAGUAAGGGCAACACCUAAACAUCGGUCCACCCACAUAUCAAACUAUCAAAGUAGCGAACGCGAAUCAUAUGAACAUGAUGAAAACCAACUUGACAGAAAUUCCCAUGUGUCCUCGGGAGCGCUUUACCUCCUAUAAGAGUUUUUCCAGGCUUGGACCUUGCUACAAAAGGGAUUGGGCCACUUUGCUGCACCGUUGUUACUAUUGUUACUUGCUACUUGCUCCGAAUCAUCUUACCACACAAUUAUUUGUACCGAUAAUUUCAGUGCUUGCACAAAAUACCUUGCUGAAAACCAUUUGUCAGAUCCUUCUGCUCCUCGUUGGGUUUGACACUCUUACUUAUCAAAAGGACUACGAUAGAUCCCCUACACUUGUGAGUCAUUAGUUCACUAGGAUCACUAGUUCCAUAAUGUUCCCAAUGAUAAACAAAGGUGAUUGAAGCACAAUAGGGGUUCUCGCAACCCAUGUGUUAAACACGUUGUUACAGGUUUGGUGUAGGGUAACAUGUGAGGUAUAGUUGCACCUAGGGAAGGGUUUCCAAUAUCAAGGAAUAAACAUAACUCUACGGGGUUACACUUGGUUGGGUGGGUUGUUACAAAAGUCUUCACUGCUAGUCAUUUGUCUAGGUUCAUCCUUGGUGCAUCUUGUCUUCCUGGUCUUUUGUUGACAAGAUGGGGGAGAGGGAAAGUAGCAUAGAGGGCAGUUGCAAGUGCAAUCAAACUAGUGUCAAAAAGGCCAAACACAAUCAUUUAGAUAAUGCAGGAGAUAUAAUCACGUACUUAUUACCUAGGGCAAACCUGCGACUUAUACACAAACAGAUAAAAUGAGCAAACCACAACAUGAUUCCAUUCGAACCAUCACACAGACUCGACUCCGCAUAGUGGAUACGUUACUUAUCCUACCCUAGGGGUUCUUGGACUUAUUAGUCAUGCUUGCUUCAUGUCUUGGAGAGAAGUUCGCUCAGUCUUCUGGGUCGUCCUCAGCUGUUGCUAUGUCUCUUUUCGUUGUUCGUAGAAACGAUCUGGGUUGAGUCUGAAAGAGUCCUUGGCAAUUUCUCAUCUAGUGUGUUGUCGGGCGAAGGUGGUUCCUCUUGGCUCUUGUUGACAGGGUCUUCUAUUGUCUUCGUAAUCAUGACAAUGCCUUCUUGUCUCCCAAGUCGUCGAGAGUUCCAACCAGAUAAUAAUUUAUGUAGUGACAUCAAUAAGGCAUGAUAGAGUUCCAACAUGUUGGUUGUAUUGACGACAAUAUCGACACUAAGAGUGGGGGAUGAAGAGAACAGUUUUCCUGCUCAAUAUGGUGAGGCACACCAAAAGGCGAGGUUCUCAUCCACCCGUGGACAUCGACAGAACAAUGGUAAGGACAAGGUCGCCCUAUUAGCGAUGCAUAUCAUGAUCUUGCAUAUCUUAUGGCCCGAUCCUCGUAGGCCAAGGUUGCAUCAUUCUGGGGCAGUAUCGAGGGUGUCACCAUCUUGCAAGUCUUGACGUCUUCAUUCCUACAUAAUGUAUCUUAUGGUUGUAUCGUCUUGUUACGGUGUUGCAAAGAUUGAUUUCAAGAGAUGUGGGAAAACGUCUUACGAGGUGGCUUCCUUCGAGGUUACCCACGAGGAUUACAAGGAAUCAAGUGGUCGGGGACAUAAGGGUAAUAUCGACCAUUCACGAGGUUCUGAAAAACUAGAUGAGGAGAGCCAUGAGAAAAAGUGUCACGCCCCCAAAAUUUAACCAUAUAUGUAUUAAUUAAAAAAUUUCAUAAAAUAAAAAAAUUGAAAAAUAAUUUGCCUCAUUGUUCAUUUCGAAGGCUCUUACCAAAAACUUUUCGCUCCAAGUAGUACUUUUGAAGAUCAUUGUGUGCUUGAGGAAUUGUUUGAGAUUAUUUUAUUCAUCUUAUUAAUUUAAUGUGAGAUUUUUUUAUAAUAAAAUAUUCCAGAUUCAAAUCCUUUAAAGACAUUUUCAUUCUUUUAAGAACCUGUGUUGCACUACAACCAUUUCAUAAAGUCAUUUAAAAAUUCGACAAAAUUUUGGAGGUGUCAAGGGAUACAUGUGAGCCACUUUUAUUAAAAAACAUAUUUGUGUUAUUUGGAAAUUUUGAGCAAAGCAACCCUUUUUCUAUUCUAGACCGGCUUGGCAAUUUGAACUGCAACCCUAUUUUUGGUUGCCCUUUUGGCCAUGAAAUUUUUCCUUCUUGAGGCUCAUCCAACCAAACCCUUAAGUCCAAGAUUUUACACUACUCGAAUCAGAGAAUUUGCCAUCAGUCCAAUCUUUACAGUUUGCUAGCGUAUGCCAAAGAUUGUCUUUGCCGUUCGCUGCCCAAAAGCCGACGACAAAAAAGGGACUCAUGGCAAAGAUGUUAUUUGCCAUCAGUUCAUUCUUUAAUGUCUACUAGGAGACUUGGUCAUCUGCAAAAAAAAUACACACGACAAAGCGCUCAUUUUGCCAUCUGUCAAAAAUACAGCAAAGUGAGCGAUUUGCCGUAUGUGUUUUCUUUUGGAAACGGCAAUGCUUCGCCGUCUGUUUUUUUAUUGUGGGCAAAAUGAAAGUAUAACCUUUUUUAUUAUUUUUUAAAUGUAAACAAGGUUUGAAGAAUAUGAAAUUUGAUGUGGUAUUGGUUUCAAGAAUUUACUAAGUAUUAAUAUGUUUAUUUUGUCAAAAGUCAUUGGAUAUAUAAAUACAAAUUUAUUGCUACAUUUCUAUUGGUUGGAACCUCAUUCCUAUGGAUUAAUGACGUGGCAGGGCAUCCACCCCACCACACAUCGAAUUUGGGCAAAAUCGACAAAUUUCGCCUCUAGAUCCAAAAAAUUCACAAACAGGACUGUGGUCGAUUUUCUUCCACUUAGGUGACCCUUUUAUGUGGUACCCGACGCUUAGACUUCAUACUACAUUUUAUGACGCCUUAGCCAUAGUCGCUACACCCCCGACAACGCUGAUGUUGCUGGACCCACCUCCAGAAGUGUGACGCCUAAACCUCAGGUGUUGCAUUUGCCGUAGUGUGACGCCGAGCGUUCAAGCGUCACACCCUUACUUAUCCAGAGUGCUGGCCGGCUUCGAGCUGCAUAUAGGCUGCGACGGAGGGAAGGGAAGGGGCGCAUAUGCCGCGCCUGACUCGGCGAAUGAUAUCCGGGCGGACACCGGCAGCAGGCCGAGGCUGGUCCCGAGCAGCUGUAGGGUGGCCAGCGGCGACUGCGAUUCUGCGAAAGCUAGCGGCAGGCAGGCAGGUUGACCCACCUGCCUUUGCCCCGUCCGCGGCGGCUCGGGGAGCAAGAAAAGGCAAAAUUGUAAUACAUGAAAGAAACAGCCACCAAAAACUGCAGCAAACUCUACUCGAUCGAUGCCCAGCCUGCCUUUCACGCAAGGCACAGCAAUAUCCCUUCUAUUUUUCAGUUUAGAAGGACACAAAAUAAAUUCUCUAGCUAAGAUCUUGGUGCUGCUAAUACACAGACGAUUGGGCCAUUAGUUGCCUAUUAGUUGCCUGCUCCACUCUGCCAUUAUAUUGCACAGACAUGAUGCAUGCCUACCAAACGAGCACGGCCAAUCUAGUCCUCCUCCAUCUUCAGCAAUAUUGUUUUUACACACGCAUUAGCCAUGCUACUUGCUGCCUGGAUUAGCUACCGUCUCAAACGAACUAACUGAUCAUCCAGUUAAACAUAUGCUGCAACGUAGAUAGAUAGGGCACUCACAGUCUCAGUCGGUGGUAUUUCACUGCACCAUACAGCACGCCUCUUACGCCGAGCUCUAAUGGCUCGUCAACGACAACCGCGACGCCGACGCGUACCCAUUGAUGCAGUUGUGGCGGCUCGGGGAGCAAGAGGGCGUGCCGCCCGUCAACUGCGUCGCACUCAGCAGCCUCGCCAGCUUCGUGCUGUGCAUCGCGGAGGAGCUCCGUGUGCCAUCUUGGGCACCAGCGCCGUCGGCUUCGUCUGCACGCUCCGCCUGCGCCAGCUCAUGCACAGAGGAUACAUGCCACUCGAAGCCGGCCAGCGCUGUGGAUAAGGGUGUGAC
Molecule: long non-coding RNA, 6017 nt
Filed under: Hordeum vulgare
Lineage: Eukaryota; Viridiplantae; Streptophyta; Magnoliopsida; Poales; Poaceae
Description: long non-coding RNA (HVUL_LNC007203)
Source: RNAcentral